Molecule: ribosomal RNA, 301 nt
Filed under: uncultured bacterium
Lineage: Bacteria
Description: partial 16S ribosomal RNA
Rfam family: Bacterial small subunit ribosomal RNA
Source: RNAcentral
CAGUCGCCGCGGUAAUACGUAGGUCCCGAGCGUUGUCCGGAUUUAUUGGGCGUAAAGCGAGCGCAGGCGGUUAGAAAAGUCUGAAGUGAAAGGCAGUGGCUCAACCAUUGUAGGCUUUGGAAACUGUUUAACUUGAGUGCAGAAGGGGAGAGUGGAAUUCCAUGUGUAGCGGUGAAAUGCGUAGAUAUAUGGAGGAACACCGGUGGCGAAAGCGGCUCUCUGGUCUGUAACUGACGCUGAGGCUCGAAAGCGUGGGGAGCGAACAGGAUUAGAUACCCCAGUAGUCCCUGUCUCUUAUACA